RNAcentral lists this long non-coding RNA (410 nucleotides) under Homo sapiens (human). RNAcentral describes it as "HSALNT0320521". Lineage: Eukaryota; Metazoa; Chordata; Mammalia; Primates; Hominidae. The record is from RNAcentral.
CCUGGCUUCAAAUGAUGCUACUGCCUUGGCCUCCCAAAGCACUGUGAUUACAGACAUGAGCCACAGUGGCAGACCAUAUUAUUUUAUCUGCGAUGAUUAAGAACACCUGUGGCAACACCAAACAGAGCCCACAAACAUCGUGCUGAUGAGCAAGGACUAGGGAAGAAGAUGCUCAAGAAACAUCCAUGAAAACAACCAGGAGGGCUUUGAGAGAAUGCGGAGCUGGAGCUCGGAUCUUCCUUUCUGAAAAGCAUGAGAAAACCCAGAAGGCUCUGUCUUAAGAUAAAAAGACCAGGGACUUUCUAGGGGUCAUAAGGUUAACUUAUAACAGUCUUUGACAUCUGGAAAAUGAAAAGUAAACACCUGCAGUUCUCCAGUAGCAGCUAUAUGUUACAUGACAAAAAUGAGAC